Drosophila montana is the source of this 530-nucleotide long non-coding RNA. RefSeq lists it as uncharacterized. Lineage: Eukaryota; Metazoa; Arthropoda; Insecta; Diptera; Drosophilidae. The record is from RefSeq and is a predicted model, not a curated record. The transcript has 2 exons.
UUAUAUAAAUAUAUAUUUUUUUAUAUGGUAUAGUAUAUAGUAAGGUAAUACGAUUUCAGGGCUAUUUAGUCUGGAAGCGUGCAAAACUAAUGUAUUGACGUUUAGCUCAUUGCAAAAUAAUUUGAUCAAGUCAUGUCUAUAUAAGUGUCAGAUACACACGAUCCAUUGCGAGAUCUUGGCAGUUACUGAAGCAAUAUUAUAAAAGAAUAACAUGAAGUUCGCUGCAUUUAUUUUCCUAGUGUGCUGCGGUAAUAUUUGCCUUGGCGAGAUCCUACAUUUGGAUGAACGUUGCUAUUUUCCGAACGCGGUGAAAGGCAGCUGCAACAAGAAUCGUAUAAAAUAUAGCUACUUUUCCAAUUUGAAUGCCUGUCAUCCGUUUGUUUGGGGCGGUUGUAGGUCAGCAAGUAUCGAAAAUCGCUUCAAUUCGCCGAAAGAGUGUGAAGUGUGCCGUUCGUGGAUUAAGGUUUAAAUUUUUGAUUUCGGUUUGAUUUACAAUAAAGUGAAAACACGUCCCAAAUGCUUUAUAUAAA